Molecule: ribosomal RNA, 981 nt
Filed under: Paraisaria amazonica
Lineage: Eukaryota; Fungi; Ascomycota; Sordariomycetes; Hypocreales; Ophiocordycipitaceae
Description: SSU rRNA
Rfam family: Eukaryotic small subunit ribosomal RNA
Source: RNAcentral
GGCUCAUUAUAUAAGUUAUCGUUCAUUUGAUAGCACCUUACUACUUGGACAACCGUGGUAAUUCUAGAGCUAAUACAUGCUGAAAACCCCGACGUCAGGAGGGGUGUAUUUAUUAGAUUAAAAGCCAAUGCCCCCCGGGCUCUCUGGUGAUUCAUGAUAACUUCGCGGAUCGCACGGCCUUGCGCCGGCGAUGGUUCAUACAAAUUUCUUCCCUAUCAACUUUCGAUGUUUGGGUCUUGGCCAAACAUGGUUGCAACGGGUAACGGAGGGUUAGGGCUCGACCCCGGAGAAGGAGCCUGAGAAACGGCUACUACAUCCAAGGAAGGCAGCAGGCGCGCAAAUUACCCAAUCCCGACCCGGGGAGGUAGUGACAAUAAAUACUGAUACAGGGCUCUUUUGGGUCUUGUAAUUGGAAUGAGUACAUCCUAAACCCCUUAACGAGGAACAAUUGGAGGGCAAGUCUGGUGCCAGCAGCCGCGGUAAUUCCAGCUCCAAUAGCGUAUAUUAAAGUUGUUGUGGUUAAAAAGCUCGUAGUUGAACCUCGGGCCUGGCUGGCCGGUCCGCCUCACCGCGUGCACUGGUCCGGCCGGGUCUUUCCCUCUGCGGAACCCCAUGCCCUUCGCUGGGCGUGGCGGGGAAACAGGACUUUUACUUUGAAAAAAUUAGAGUGCUCCAGGCAGGCCUAUGCUCGAAUACAUUAGCAUGGAAUAAUGAAAUAGGACGCGCGGUUCUAUUUUGUUGGUUUCUAGGACCGCCGUAAUGAUUGAUAGGGACAGUCGGGGGCAUCAGUAUUCAAUUGUCAGAGGUGAAAUUCUUGGAUUUAUUGAAGACUCACUACUGCGAAAGCAUUUGCCAAGGAUGUUUUCAUUAAUCAGGAACGAAAGUUAGGGGAUCGAAGACGAUCAGAUACCGUCGUAGUCUUAACCAUAAACUAUGCCGACUAGGGAUCGGACGAUGUUACUCCAUGACUCGUUCGGCACC